CUGAGUAAUCUUCUGAGACGAGUGAGUGGGGAAGGGAAGAGGUCUGGUUGACUCCCCUGCCGUGAAGGGAUUCCCCGUCACUGGAAAGGAGAGGGCUCCACCAGGGAAACAUACUGAGAGCCAGCGCUCGCUGAUGAGCUAAGCAGGAGAAAGCUGCAGAUUCAUCCCUACUCAUCCAUUGGCCCUGCUAAUUAGGCAGAAACACUGGGGGACAACUGGUUUUCUAAUAGGAAGACAACUAUCCAACAUGGUCCUCACUAGAAAGUUGUGUAAGGAGUUGGGUAUCUUGCCAGAUACGCCACUUAGCCCCCCGGGACCUGGAAAGAGACAAAGUAAAAUUAUAAAUUACUUCCCCAAGAGGGAGGAAUGCAUGAGUGAACAAAUUGAACCAAUUAUUGACGAAGUCACUCCUCUCCCCUUACUUACCUUGACCGGUCACAUUACUUCAAAGAGCUUCAACACAACUCUGGAAACACAAAUUCCCCAAGAAGCCUGGCGCAAGAGCUAGUUCUAGCUGAGAAACCUGUGGAAAAUAUUUCUGUCACCUAUAACCAGCGGCCCCUGGCAGAAUUAACAACAUGCCACCAAGACCAGGCGCCCACUUCCAAAUAUACUCAAACUGAACUGAGUGAUGGCCAUCUUCAGGCCCAUUUCCAAGAUAUAAAUAUAGACCUUUCCAACAUAAAACAAUUACUUGACAAUAACAAAUGGGUUAUUGCUGACCCUUGUGGAAAAUUUUAUUCCCCAACCAAAAGAGACAACAGCAACCGAUGCACCCCAAGUGCAUAAACCAGAUGAACUUGUGCAUAACCCAGAUGAACUAGUGAAGAUGAGACAAGCAGUAACAACCAAGAAAUUGCAAAAAAAUAGAUCAAAAGUCCGGGAAAAGAAAACUAAGAACAUUAAAACAACAAGGAAAAUAAAGAUAAGCCGACAUAAACAAUGGCAGAAAUUAUUUAAUCUACUCCCAUUGGACUCAAAUAAAUCUGCUGCACGAGAUAAAAGAGAAUGGCAGGAAGGGGAAAAAGAAGCCAUCGCCAAAGCUAAUGGCUAAGGUGGCAUCUCUGAACCAGAAUUCAGAACUAAGUGGGAGGACGGAAGCAACGUCCCAGAGUUCUGGUAACAGUUCACUCAGCGAACCAGAUUCUGGGGGAGAAGUGGUCCCUAACAAUGAAGGCAGCAAACCGCUUAGCAAAUCGGGAAAUGGGGACGAUGCAAUGCCCAAUCGCGAUGACAACACUAUACAAGAUGGGCAAACCUUUAUUCAGGCAAGAUGUUGGAACCUGAUUUUAAAUCCCUCAAUAUUAGUAUUUACAAACUUCCCAAAAUCAAAGGGCUUCCUUACAGGGAAAGAACGAAGAAUGAGCUCCUUGAACGUUCUGAAUGAUAUAUUGCCAGGAGCAGUAAAGCCAUAUGACAUUAUUUCUGUAGAUUAUUUGCAUCAUGAUGGUUGUUCAAUGAGAGCAAUGAUCACAUUUAGAGACCAGAACCUGGCCAAGUUUAUCUACAGAUCAAGAUAUAUAUUCUUAAAGGCCCAGAUAAAAAUUCUCAGAUUUUUUGAAAACAAGGCACCACCGAAUCCCCUUCUGGAAGCCAAGCACGCAAACCCUAGUAAGGAGAAACAACCUCCCAAAACCCGGCCUGGUCUCCAGAAACGAGAGCUUC
Molecule: non-coding RNA, 1665 nt
Organism: Podarcis lilfordi (Lilford's wall lizard)
Lineage: Eukaryota; Metazoa; Chordata; Lepidosauria; Squamata; Lacertidae
Source: the annotation of a GenBank genome assembly